RNAcentral lists this small RNA (78 nucleotides) under Thiomonas bhubaneswarensis. Its description in RNAcentral is "Thiomonas sp. S10 int-alpA RNA". It matches the Rfam family "int-alpA RNA". Rfam says of the family: Acidobacteria (1 example), Planctomycetes (1 example), Proteobacteria. Lineage: Bacteria; Pseudomonadati; Pseudomonadota; Betaproteobacteria; Burkholderiales. The record is from Rfam by way of RNAcentral.
CCCCGGCCUAGGCCCUGCCUGAUCCGCAGUGCCGAAAAGCGCAUUGCCCGUGUGCCUGGCCUGGGCACUUCUACCGGG